CCCUUAGAUGUUCUGGGCCGCACGCGCGCUACACUGAUGCAUUCAACGAGUCUAAAACCUGCUCUGAUAGGGGUGGGUAAUCUUUUGAAUGUGCAUCGUGAUUGGGAUAGAUGAUUGCAAUUUUUCAUCUUCAACGAGGAAUGCCUAGUAAACGCAAGUCAUCAGCUUGCAUUGAUUACGUCCCUGCCCUUUGUACACAACGCCCGUCGCUCCUACCGAUUGAAUGAUCCGAUGAAUAUCAUGGAUUGAGGAUGCAAGUAGGUUCGCCUAUCUUCAUCUUCGAGAAGUGAAGUAAAUCUUAUCAUUUAGAGGAAGGAGAAGUCGUAACA
This 329-nucleotide ribosomal RNA is filed under the name uncultured eukaryote. Its description in RNAcentral is "partial 18S ribosomal RNA". It matches the Rfam family "Eukaryotic small subunit ribosomal RNA", at positions 1470 to 1796 of the family's 1831-position model. The record is from RNAcentral.